RNAcentral lists this ribosomal RNA (301 nucleotides) under uncultured bacterium. Its description in RNAcentral is "partial 16S ribosomal RNA". It matches the Rfam family "Bacterial small subunit ribosomal RNA", at positions 509 to 809 of the family's 1533-position model. The record is from RNAcentral.
CAGUAGCCGCGGGAAUACGAAGGGUGCAAGCGUUACUCGGAAUUACUGGGCGUAAAGCGUGCGUAGGUGGUGGUUUAAGUCCGUUGUGAAAGCCCUGGGCUCAACCUGGGAAUUGCAGUGGAUACUGGGUCACUAGAGUGUGGUAGAGGAUAGUGGAAUUUCCGGUGUAGCAGUGAAAUGCGUAGAGAUCGGAAGGAACAUCUGUGGCGAAGGCGACUAUCUGGGCCAACACUGACACUGAGGCACGAAAGCGUGGGGAGCAAACAGGAUUAGAUACCCCCGUAGUCCCUGUCUCUUAUAA